GCGUAGCUCAGUUGGUAGAGCGCCGGAUUGUGGUUCCGGUGGCCGCGGGUUCAAAUCCCGUCGUU
Molecule: transfer RNA, 65 nt
Filed under: marine eukaryotic metagenome
Rfam family: tRNA
About the family: Transfer RNA (tRNA) molecules are approximately 80 nucleotides in length.
Source: RNAcentral